RNAcentral lists this long non-coding RNA (14122 nucleotides) under Lynx pardinus (Iberian lynx). The stretch from base 3196 to 3285 matches the Rfam family "mir-670 microRNA precursor family". The record is from RNAcentral. Lineage: Eukaryota; Metazoa; Chordata; Mammalia; Carnivora; Felidae.
ACUGAACGCGAACUGUUUUGCUUUGCUCCGGGAAGAGUGCAGACACAUAACGUGAAAUCCCGAGCUUUUUGCGUGGUGCAUUUAAAAUGCUUCCUUAUUUAUAUUACCCUCAUUCCCUCACCUCUCCCACCCCCUCACCAGUCCUUCCAAAUUUCCCUAGAAAUCUAUGUAAAGCGUGUGGAGGGGAAACAUUUGCACAAAAAGUGAAGGAGCUCGCCAAGGUAGGUUAUACCGUGCACUGUCUUGUGUUUGGCUUUUGCAAAGUUUAUGAUGUCAGUUGGUGGAUGUUUGGAGGAGUAGAUCUGUGUGACUGGCCAUGAUUACUGUCUUUUUCACUGAACAAUUAUAUUUGUACAAAUUGCCUAGACUUCUUAAGCAGGCUUUCCGUGGUGGUGUGUGUGUGAUUUGUGCAGGAGUCAUGCCAGUUGGAAGAUGAUCCUGUGGUGUUAAGCUGGGGGGAGGAUGCUGCCUCGCCUCCCCCCACCCUGAUGUUUUUUUGGAGGGGGGAUUCUGUAGUGGGCAAGUGCUUCCUCCACUCUGUCAUAUUUUGGAUUGGUUCUCAUUCACUAAGUGUCUUCAUUCUUGUAAUUAUUUUGCACAUGAAAAUUUAGUUGCAAAAAGGCUUCAUGAAGUCAGAGCAAAGUGGGGAGUGUGGGGAGAUAAAGAGUCAGAGCAUGGUGGUGGUGAUGGUAGUGGUAACAUUUCUUGCACAGAGAAUUUAAUCUUCUCUCUUCUUGGGAUUUGGAGGAAAUGCUAACCCUUUGUGGGUACAAUCAAAAUAAUUUUUUAAAAACCCUAUUAGUGGGUAAAAUGAAAUUAAACACACAGACACACACACACACUCGCGCGCGCGCACACACACACACACACACACUUCCAUUGCAAAAGCAAAAACUGCUACAGCUCACAACCACCUGUAGAGGGAAAUCUUUAUGCAUGAUUUCUUAGGGCUGGUUGUGUAGAGGAAAACCGCCUGAAAAGGCGCCUGGCAAACUUUGCAGCAAGAAGACAAGGGAGGCUGAACUCAGCAGGGUGGAGGGUUAUAUCGUGGGGGCGGCAGAGGAGGGAAAGGCUGGCGCCUGGCCAGGGUCUCUCACAGCCUGGGAAGCUGCAGAGUUGGCCUCCUUGCUUUGGGAACCUGAUCCGAAGAGGGGUCCAGUUUGGAGUGGAAAAGCUGCAAGGGGACAGGGGCUUGCAGGGCAUAUGUGACGGCGGGGGGAGGCAGUGUUCCGUGAGGUCAGGGGCUGUGUGGUGCCUGGUGCCUGGUGGAGAUGGCGAGGACAGAGGCCAGCUUUUCCAGCGGGGCCCUGGUUUCCCUGCUGCCAUGCAAAGCAAGGUGGUUAUCAACAAGUGUUUCUCCUGAGAAGAUUAGUUUUGACAGAGACUUCAAGGGGUUCUCUAAUCUGGGUAAAUCCACCAGGGCUUUAUUGUGUGUAGCAAAGAGAGUCAUUCUUUGUUAGGAAGGAGCUUGGGGAAGAGAGGUGGAGCGCCAGAGAGGGGGGACUUUUGAACAUCAGCCAUUUGACCUUGGGGGCCAGAGUUCAAAUCCUCCAGAGAGUUGAAAAGGCUGAAAAGAAGGUUACCCCUUUUGCUGCCCCCAUACCGUUGAUACUGAGCUUUAUGUUUAAUGUGAAAAUUCAGUGCCUGGUGCUGGCUGGACCUCGUCAGUGGGAAGUCCAUGUGUCUGAGAGCAGGGUUUGUUUUUUUUUUUUAAUCUAGGGAAGCAGGCAGCACUCUCAGCAGUAGUACUGUAUUUUUUUUUUCCCCUGCAAAUGAUCUUCUAGGAAAGCUGAAUCACCUCCACUCUGAAGAGCAGCCACUCCAGGAGGUGGAAUACAAGUCUCUAGAGGAGGGAAUACCCCCCACACACGGCCUUUAAAUAUAGACGUGGGGGCACCAUUUGAACGUAAAGUUAAAAUGCACUUGGAAAUAUGGGGAAGGUAACAGGCCAUGGUUCUCUGGACGGGGCUGGGCUAGUAGUAGUGAAGACCACCAGGAUGAGGAUGUGAUUCUGAAGCAGUGAGUUAGUAUCUUUUUGACUUGGGAGGGGGUGGCGGGGNGGGGGGGGGCGGGUGCUGGGUUACCAAAUUCACAUGAGAAGUGAAUAUCUUUCAGCAGGUUUGGGGGUUGGGAGAUUUGAGGGGGGUGCUUGGAAGUUAGAAUCAGCAACAUCUGUUGUCACAGCAAGGCAGAGAAUAUUCUAGCUCUCCAAGCUAGAAUAACCCGAAGGCAAUGAGUACAGACAUAGAAACAGAACUGGAAGUCAGAUGUGGGCACAGUCUGGACUAAGCCUGCUCUUAGUGUGAGGUGUUGUCCAUCCUUAUGGAUUUGCUGGUGUGGAGUAAAACCAGGCCAGCAUGCCCGACAUCCAGUGUCCGCAUCACUUGAAGUCCCAGGUCAGGGAACUGCCCCCUCAGUUUUUGUCCAGGGGUGGAGGAGGGGUAGGCUUUCCUAGCCUUGGAAGGGAAACUGUCACUCCUCUCAGAAGGAAAUUGUUUCUGUUCUAUACCUAAGUCAACAGGUGUUUGUCCCCUCAAUAUAGAGGGAGAGGAGAGUGGUUAUAAGAAAAAUCUGGUCUGGGCGCCUGGGUGGCUCAGUCAGUUAAGCGUCUGACUUCAGCUCAAGUCAUGAUCUCACAGUUCAUGGGUUCAAGCCCCAUGUUGGGCUCUGUGCUGACAGCUCAGAGCCUGGAGCCUGCUUUGGAUUCUGUGUCUGCCUCUCUUUCUGUCUCUCCCCUGCUCGCUCUCUCUCUCUCUCUCUCUCAAAAAUAAAUAAACAUUAAAAAAAAUUUUUUAAAAAGAAAAGUCUGGUCCUAGGAAUAUAGCCACAUGUCCUCCAUAGCCCCCCCCCCCCCCCCCCCCCCCCCCCAGACUCAUCAGUAUCACUCUCUACUCUGCUGUGAUCUCCUGAGGACCAAGUUCCAGAAGGACACCGUUUUCACCCUAGCCUUAACGGUGUUUCAUGUCUGUCAGCCACUCCCCCAAGAUCCAUGUAAAGACCACUUCUCUCAAGUUCUCCCAGGUGCUCAAGCACACAUCACAUGCAAGUAUAUAUGCGCAAAGUACAUGCACAUAUGCGCGCCAAGACCACAACGAUGCACAAGUAUGUGCACUUAUGCAGAGCUCUCGCCACAUUUGAGCUCACAGGCAACCCACAAAAGAGCGGACCUUCUUCAUCUUCUGUCCCACCUGGUUUAGGGGUGGAUCUGACAUCCCUGAGUGUAUGUGGUAAACCUGAAUUUGUCUUGGGUUUCCUCAUACUCAUUCAGGAGUGUCAGUUCCCCCUUCACGCGACGCUGGAGAGCAUUACCACAAGCAGAUGUCUACCCACUUAGGAGAAGAAGGAAGUCCACCUUUCCCCUUCAUCUGAGCCUGGGUGCUUCACCUUUGUUUCUCAAAAGAAAAAUAAGAGUAGGAACAGGACCAACUACAUAAUUUGUAGGGCCCAGCAUGAAACAAAAAAGGAGGGGCUCCUUGUUCAAAAAGUAGGAAAAAAGUGCUGUUAGAGAUACUAAAAUGUAAAACUUUUUUCCUUGAGUGUUUCUCUCAACUUGUCAUGAUGUUUUUUAUUUGAUGUUUCAUGUGCUAAAUAAAAAUAAAAAUUUCAAAUUAUUAGCAUGAAUUUUACCACCCAUCUUUAUAUUGUUCAAUGCUAUAGAAGAGCAUUUCAUUCAUUUGCAGAAUCACCAAAAUUACACAAUUCACAUUUCAUGGGUCAUACGUGCAUAGGUAUUUUGUUCUUACCUGAGCAAGGGAAACAUGGAACAAAAUGUACUCAACUAGUUUUGUUUCACUUUUUAUAUGCAAACAUUCUCCCAGCUCUCUCUGACUUCAGCUUAAUGAUAAGGAAGGACUGAAAGGAAAAAGAACUAUUAGCUGUCCUAUGGUUCCCUUUCCUCCUAUAUCAUCAUUUUCAGCAUAGAUGGUUGGCAAAUACAGGGAAGGAAUGAGAAUAAGAAACUGUACAAUAGGGUUCCUUGUUCAUUAGUAUUUCAAAGAACCCCACUGCCUUCUUUCUGCAUUUGAAGCAAGUUCUGGUUCAAAUAGCACUACCUCUGGGUACUGUCAAUCCCCCAUUUACUCACAGACUUACCUUUCACUUGCUUUGAGUCUCGUUGAGCUCCCACUGGAAUUUUGUACUCUUGGGGGAGUACCAACCCCAUGGGGCAGCAAGGAAUGGUGAGCACAUCCGUGGCACAGAUCUUCUCUUCUGACACAUUCUCCACUGUCCAACAGACUUUACUUACACAAGUCCAAAGGCAAAAUUAUUAUGAAUUUCAAGACAGUAACAUCAGAGUAUUAAACCAAGCAUGAGGCCCUUCUGAGCACAGGGCUAUGUGUGACUACACAAGUUUCACACCCAUGAAGUUGCACAGCAGGAGGAGGCUAGAAGUAACCCAGAUCCCAGACUGAGAACACUGUUGCUCAUCUUCUCUCAUCAAGCCAAUAAUCCUAUCUGCAGCAUAAAAAUUCAGCGGCCUCCAUUUUUUAUCCAUUGGGGUUUUCUUCUAACCAAGUCCCACUCUGUGAAAAGUCCACCACUUCCUGAUGACGGUGUUAAAAGUCAUCUGCUGGUCGCUUCUGGGUCUGCUGAAGCCUUGGGUUAGAGCCCAGGCCUGGAAAGGAAGUAUCCAUCCAGUCCCUACCCACCACUUCCAAGCUUGGCUCCAUCAAGCAGAACUUCUGCCUCAUAUAUAUACUUAGGUUUCGCCACCUACAAAUGAAUAAAAUAAAACUUAGCUUGCUUCAUGAAUAAUUGUGUUAAUUAUUUAAUGACAGGUUCUCAAAAAUGACUUUGGCAGUUGGGGCGCCUGGGUGGCGCAGUCGGUUAAGCGUCCGACUUCAGCCAGGUCACGAUCUCGCGGUCUGUGAGUUCGAGCCCCGCGUCAGGCUCUGGGCUGAUGGCUCAGAGCCUGGAGCCUGUUUCCGAUUCUGUGUCUCCCUCUCUCUCUGCCCCUCCCCUGUUCAUGCUCUGUCUCUCUCUGUCCCAAAAAUAAAUAAACGUUGAAAAAAAAUUAAAAAAAAAAUGACUUUGGCAGUAAGUUCAAUUGAUGUUGAUAUAGAAGAAGUAGGACUUAAGGCUCAAAAAGUCAAGAGAAAGACAGUCCUAUAUUCUGAUGGACCCCAACGGGAAGGGAAUUUUCCUUUCCUUCAUCCGUUGCCUCCUUACUCCUUACCCUCUAAGGAGCAAAGCUAGAGGGGACCUCAGAAAUGUGAGGUGGACUAGGGUGGAAAUCAGAUGGCAUUAAAAAUGCAUCCAACCUACAGAAUUAAGACACUAUUGACCCUCCAUCAUUGGUUCAGGGACUUUGAGAAUUGUGUUUUCAGCUUUAAUCUAGUUUUUCUUCCUUGCCUGGUUCUUUAGGUGACAGAACACCCUUUUGUGAAACAUUUAACUUAGACUAAGCUACUAAGAGUACCAAGAGAAAAGAGGGAAAGGAAUUACUCUUAUUCUUUUAUAUAACCUUUACUGGACUUGGAGGCUGCUGCUGCAACAGCCCAGUUAGUAGACUGGAAGACCAAUUGAUAAAUAAUUACUUACUGCUUGUGAAUGAGGUUAGCUCAGUGCUUGACCCGUGGUGGAUGUUUAAUAAAUGCUAGCUGACUCUGGUAGGGCUUAUUAUUGUGGCAAUAUGCUAUAGUUGAAAGAGCCAUGGAUUUGGGGGGCGCCUGGGUGGUUCAGUCAGUUAAGCAUCUGACUUGUGCUCAGGUCAUGAUCUCACAGUUCAUGAGUUCAAGCCCCACAUGGGGCUCUCUGCUGUCAGCACAGAGCCUGCUUCAGAUCCUCUAUCCCCCUCUCUCUCUGCCCCUCGCUUUUGUAUUCUCUCCCUCUCUAAAAUAAACAUUAAAAAUUAAAAAAAAAAAAAAGAGCCAUGGAUUUGGCCUCAAACCACAUAGAUUCAAGGAGCCAAGGAGAUAUAUGAUCUUAGACAAAUUACUUAGCUUCUUUGUGACCUGCUUUCCUCACCUGAACAGUAGGAGUAUUCACAUUAUAAUACCUACCCCAUUAAGAAUGAAAUGAGAAAUUAGAUGGCUUAUCCAAAAGCACUUUAGAAUAUUCUACAUAUGUGACACAUGUGUUGCACCUGUGUGUGUGUGCACAUAGGCAGAUGUUUAAAAAUUUUUAAAUCAUGCUUUCCUCUUUCCCAUCUCAAUUAGCAAUAGAGGUCGACAUAGGUCUCUGAUUGGCUGGAUUCAAAACAGUUUCCUGAAUACAGUAUAAUAGUGGAUAAUUCAGGGUUUGCAGCCAAACAGACCUGGGUUCAAAUCUUGGCUCCUGUAUUUGGUUGGUUAUGUGAGUUAUGACAAGUUAUUUAAACUCUCUAAGCCUUGGUUUCUUGACACUUAAGAUUAGAGUAAUAAUAGUACCUACCUCAAAGACUAAUGAUGAUGAUGUAUUGAGUUAUUUGUAAAGGACUUGGCACAGUGCUUGGAAUAUACCAAGUAUUUGAUACUAUUAUUUUUAUUAACAUACUUCUGACCACUGAUGGAGCCAAGGAAACAUCAGAGAAGUAGUGGGAGAAUCUUCUUAUGGUAUGUUGUGGGGUGGCAUUUCUACCAUAUGCCUGCCUUUCCUGGGUAGAUUCUUUAUUUUCUGAAGAUAGCAGGGCUGUUCUUAGACCUUUCCAUAUACACUGGGACUCCUCUUCUAUAUCCCCCCUACCUUACUCUCUGAUAGCCAAAGGAUGUUCUCCAUUGACCCUGCCAAGCCAGGAACAGGCCUGGGAAACUUUCCUGGACCUUUCACUCCAGCUCAGGGCCCAUAAGCUCUUUUUUCCCAGUAGCUCCCAGUCCUGAGAGAGAGGCAUCCAAGUAGGGAGAAAUGGACUCAGUCUGUACUUUGCGCAAGUCUGGAUCUCAUGAGUAUAAAUGUGAGAAGAUCAUCUGUGUUUGACUCACUGGAACCUGGAGGCUAGGCUUGAGUCUCCUCCUUUCCACUGGGGCAAAUGUUCCAAGUCCUCCUUGGACAUUGUAAGAGUCUCUCAGGGAUUCCUUGGAGGCAAGUACGACUGUCUACUCCUCAUCUAGAUCUAGAGUUUCAAUGACUUCAUUCCCUAGCGGAGAACAGAAGAAAGUAAUCCCUUACCCAGUCCUUCUGGCCUCAUGACAAAUUGGGAACGCAACAAAAAUUUAUGGAGAGUCCACUAGAUUAGCAGGCCAUAUAGUAGGCUCUGAAGAUCCAGAGAUAAUGAAGAGAUGGAUCCUGAGAGCCAUCAUGGCACUCAUAGUUCAGAAGGUGAAAGAGGCCUUUAGCAACUCACAUUCUUCCUUUGGUAAGACCCUUGCCAACCCUAAGUUCUUAGGAACUUAUAAAGCCCUUGCUUGACCAAUAAUCCACCACAAGUUUCCUUUCCCUGUUCCAAAAUUAUCUGUCCUGUGUCCCAUUCUAUCAGGAAUCCUUUCACCCAUGAGUUUAUGUGAGCAUGUUAAUUGGUGUGGGUAUAUCAGUUGGAAAAGAAGUUCCAUCAAUUAAAGUCCAGAUUUUUAGUUCUAAAGACUUGGUAAUAUUUAGUGAGGAGGCCAGGCUUUUGUGGCAGUUCAUCCUACUGGAUGUGGGAUGAUUACAUUAGGGUUCAAGGGUAUCAGACCUAUAGGAUUUACCCUUAAUACCCAUAUCUUGGGUGUUAAAAACCACUGAUCUUGGGAAGAUCUGAUUUCCAAGGAGUGGCCUCAACCUAGCCUCAGUCUUGGGCAGGAGUUAGGAUCCCAAUUCACUACAAGGGUUAUUUGCUUCUACUUACUUUUCUAUAUUCACACAGACUUGGAAAACAAAUCAUUUGGGGAGGUGAUGUUUAAAAAAAGGAAUAGCAAAAUAGCCUUUAUCCCUCCCUUUCACUCCUUUGUUAGUCAUUUCCAUCAAGGCAAAAGGAUUUCUCCUACUCUACAUUAAGCUACUAUUUAUAAACUCUCAGAUUUGAAAAGCUUUACCAUCUAUAUUAUGUUCAAGGAAUCUGGUGAGCUGAAUAUUUGGGUACAGAAAUUGAUGAGCUCAUUUCCAAACUUGGCCUGUGACCUGAGGCAAGCUGACUCUCCCUCCAGGCUUUAUUUCCCUCACACAGAUUAAAGGAAUACCUUCCUUUUCUUUCCUAGUACUAGUAGCCUCCCUCAUCAGCAACCACUAUAUUCUCUUACCUGUCCCCCCAGUAUUCAGACACCCUGUGAUUAGAUAGAUGGGUUGAACCAGGUGUCAACUGGGUUCUAGCCCAGGCUCUGCUGACCUAACAUAGUGAACUUAGGUGAUUCACUUGGCCCCUCUUGACCUCAUCUCUAAAGCAAGGGUCAGAGUCAACCAGCUCCAUACUGUAUGCAAUAUCCUGACUGUUGCUCAGAGCAAAUUAAAUUCUUGUCCUUAAGGAGCCCCUAAGGUGUUUGGAAGAGUGAGCAUGUGUGAGUUAAAUGUAGUUGUCACUGUUACCAGUCUUCUAUGGUCCUGGUAUGGAGGGUUCAAUGGUUGCUCAGGCCUUAGGCAACAGGUUUCUCUGGGCCCAUUAGUCCCCAUGGUGUCUGGCAUUCCAUAGACUAUUCACAACAAAUACAACACAAGACUGACUUUGGAUUCCUUUUCACCUGGGACCCAUUCAUGUCCAGCUCCUGCCAACACUUUGGAGAUCUUUCCAUUAAGAGGUGAGAAUCUAACAUGGGGCUCAGAGCAGAAAUCAGGAUAAAAAUCUUUCCAACUUAAAUACCUCAAAGGCCUCAGAAAAGUUCAGUAAUCUCUAGGUUUCUUCAUCUAUAAGAUGGGAAUAAUAAUAGUACCCCCCUCCCAGAGUUAUGAUGAGUAAAUCAAUACAUAAGAAGUGCUUAGGACAUUGCAUGGUAUAUAAAAAGUGCUCAGUUAAAUGCUUGCUGCUGUUAUUAGCGUUUCCCCCAUUCUUAAGGCAUCUCUGUCCUUAAUAUGCCACCCUUUCAGGUCCCUCUUGGAAGACUGCUAUGCAUUUGAAGGGGAUUUCAAGUAAAACAUAAAUGCUCUAUAACUACUUUGGCUCUGGAGGGCUCUAAGCAGGAUGCACAUGAAGCAGGUUGCAGAUGGUCCUUGCUGAGGGCUUGAUGCAUCCCUUUAGGGGCCUGGAACUUAACCAGACCAUAAAUCCCUAAUCAUAAUGAGACCUUCAUAUGCAUGAGUCUGAGAUCCAAUCAAAACAUUAAUAAUUCUCCUGAGUUACAAUACAGACCAAAGUUGUGUUUUGAUUUGCAACUGAACAUAUCCUUUUAAACUAAUUAGAACCUAUAUUCACUAAUACUGGUGGCCCACAACAGCAAGUUAUUCCAUGAGUCAAAACAUUUGGUGUCAGCCCUGAAGAUGAGGGGAUUAAAGGAAAGGACAAGACAGGACUGGGCCUGAGCCCUCUCUUCUUCCUGUGGCCAGUGGUUCUCAGGCUCUUCAAGGCAGUAGCUCCUUCAUUUUUUCUCCUCCUUGUCAUCAGAAGCCUACCUUCUCACUGGACAGCAUCCCUCUGAUGACUUCAAGAGGAGGAUGAGAAGUAGCAGCUAAGCUUAUGGGGUGACUGAAGGUAGAGUCUUUGUCAUCUAUGAUUAAGGAAAAGUACUUCCUGUGAUAUUAGCUCUACAGCGUGUACUUUCCCUACUUAGUUCAAGCCCCCAUGUCAAAGGAACCAGCAAUGAGCCUUAACCAGAAUUGGGUAAACAGAGCCCAGAAAAGUUACAGAUCUAGAUGGAGUCAUGGUUUGAGAGCUGCUGAUAAAAUCCGUAUCCUAUCCCUCUCCCGCAGAUUAUUCUUUUUUUUUUUUUUUUUUUUUUUUUUUUUUUUUUUUUUUUUUUAAAUUUUUUUUUUUCAACUUUUAUUUAUUUUUGGGACAGAGAGAGACAGAGCAUGAAUGGGGGAGGGGCAGAGAGAGAGGGAGACACAGAAUCAGAAACAGGCUCCAGGCUCUGAGUCAUCAGCCCAGAGCCUGACGCGGGGCUCGAACUCACGGACCGCGAGAUCGUGACCUGGCUGAAGUCGGACGCUUAACCGACUGCGCCACCCAGGCGCCCCCCGCAGAUUAUUCUUAAUGGCAGUUCCCAAAGAGUCUUUUCUUUAUAGACAUGAGCCCUAAAGGAUUCUGUCCUUGGACUAGGUCCCCAGCUUUCAGUCAUUUAGUUCAUCCCAAAUUAUAAAAGUCCAAUGCAUUUGCCAAAUAUGAGUAAUGAGCUCCUUUUUUUUUUCCUCUAUGGUUAGGUCCAGUGUCUAAGGGUUUAUCUUAGAGAGGGAGAAGGAGGUGAACUGCUUCACCCUGGUGGUAGUUUUUCCUCUUGAGAUAGGUCACACUUGCCCUGUAGUAAUGAAAUAAUGGAAUAAGAAGGAACACCAGGUAUUUCCAUCAGUCCUGUGACUUAAGGUGUGCCUAGGCUUCCCUUACCUGUGGAAACUUAUAAUGCUGAAGGGAACUCUACUAAUGUCUGUUCUGGAAAACCCACCUAGGGCUCAAAGAGGGGCUGCUCUGUAUCUCAGUAUACCAGCUACUACACUUAACAGCUGUUUGACUUAGGGCAGGUUAUUUAGUCUCUCAGAGUCCCAGCUUUUCAACUUAAAAAUGGAAAUUGUAAUAGGAACCUUUUCACUUAGUUGCUGUAAGGAUUGAAUGGGAUGGUACAUACCUAUUAGCACAGUACUUGAGAUUACUAAAUACCCAAUAAAUUACACUGUCAAAUUUAACAAAUUUGAUACACUAUCAAAAUUAACGAUAGUGAUGCCAACAGGAGGGAGAGGAGCUCUCAUAUAUUUUUAACCUUCCUGGAUGGCAAGUGUUCACCUUAUUCUGGGUUCCUCCUGAGCUAUGUAUCAUCCUGUAAGUAGGUGAAGCACAGAGCCCCUUGGGUACCCUAAAAGAAAUGAGGCCACUGCUAAUCAAAAUCAGGCUGUGAGCAAAUGUUAAUUGUAAGAAAGACUGGAAAUAUCUCCCACUAUCUCUUGGGGCUCCUACUAUUGCAUUGAUUAACUGUGAGCCAGAAAAUAAGCGUGAGGAAAAGGUCUGUGCCCUGAUGGCAGGCCACCUGGUUGACCUGAGCAAUCUGAACAGAAAAGGAACUGUGGAAAAAGCUCCACUCAGAUCCUCACUAAAAUCCAUCUUGCUACCCUUUGGCAGCCAUUUUAGGUCUUUUAUCCUAGACACAUGCUGUGUCCAUCAUUUUGUUUCUCCUAACAGCAGGCAAGGACUCUUUCCUUCACUGUUCUGCUUAACAGUGGCCAGGCUCCAUGACUGCCUUAUAACAAGUUUGUAAAAAAGGUCCUUCAGUGACUAUGAAUCCAGAUAUUUGUCGGGAGAGGGUGACUGGAAAGCUAGAGUACAUUCAAAAUUUCAAGGGUCAAAGAAGGGUUAGCUUCAAAGUCUUAGUCCCAUAUCUCCUCAGAUCAUCCCCCAUAGAGGAACUGUCCUUUCUAUUACAAGUUGCAAAUGGAGCCCAAGAGUUGAACCUUGCCAUGGGACUCAACCUGUCUCUAAAGUUCAAGAACACCUGGGUUCUCUGAAAGCAGGAUUGGAUCUAGGUCUUUUUCUGAGUGAUCUGGUUUUCUCUAAGUAAAAAGGUUUCUGGUAGAAUAAAAGUUUGUGGCCUCUGAGCAUAGAUUUGUUUUACAGAGAAAUGAAGCAAAAGUGGACUAGAGAAGAGCAGUUUUACCUGGGAGCUCCCUCUACUGGCUCUUUGGUAGAAAUUCCUUAGCAGUCAUUUUGCCCUGCCCUGUGGGUAUCAAUUUGAGGCAUCUGAGCUUCUUGGUGCCUUGAACCAGGGAGAAAAUAAGGUAUCCUGAGGCACCAAGGAAGAUGAAACUCCAGAGGUUGGCCUCUUCUGCCUCCUUAAUAAUUUCAUCUAACAUUUAUUGGAUGCCAACACAAUGCUAGGCAUCCUACUUGUAUGAUCUCAUUUAAUACACAACUGCAUGUGGCAGGAUUUUACAAACAAGACAGCCAUGACCUGGAACAUUAACUAAGUUCCUGGCAUCACCAAAGCCUAGCAGACUUCCUCAGUGACCCUCAUUGUUUUAGGAUUCUCGUGAGUGAGAACUCAAGAGAAGAAACAACCAAGGGAUGAUGUGAAAUUGGAUGUGGAACUUGUUCUCACCACCCAACAUAUGUAGGUUAUACCUGGCUCUGGAAUUGCUCCAUAAACCUCCUGGGUUCUAGAGCAUUUCAACCUUGCUUUGUCAAAAAUUCAGCCCAUGAGACAACUGAUUACAUGACAAUGCUUGCCCAAUCUGUGCUCUCACUGUGAUGCUCAGACAGAAGAACGCAGAGUAACUACCACAGUGACUAAGAAGAAUUUCCAUUACAGAGGUGAGGCCUUUUUUAAUUUGUGGAACAUGUUCACACCUACGUUUUUAAAAAUAAAAUCUUGUGAGGUGGAUAGGGCACAUAGCAGUACACUCAUUUUAUAAGUUGGGAAUUUAAGAUAUUGAGUGAUGUGUUCCAGAUUUUGGUUAGGAGCAAAUAGCAAAGACCAGAAUCUUCACUCACAGCUUAAAUUCUGACUUUCUGGUUGGCAUCGGUUGAAACUGAGGUCUAGAUUGGGCUUUUUAACUGUAGCAAAUAAAGACUGUGAAACCACCUCCUUGAUCCUUAGAUAUAGACUCUGGCCUGAGUCAUUCCUUUCCCUUUUUCAGGUUGGUUCAUAAUCGAGUACUCUUGAUAUUGAGUCAUUUGGGAAUUAGGAAUUACACAGCCACUUAUCUUUUCAAGGUUGAUCUCUAACCAACCCACAUUUCAAAGGUUAUCUAGGUCCCUGAGAGAAUCUGAAAUAUUAUUUCAACUCUCCUAUACCAUGCAAAGAUGUAAACUUUUUCACUUAAUGCAGAAGAAUUUCAAAGCAUUUGAGACAUGGGUACAUCACAGGAUUCCCAUUCCUCUUUGGGUUGGGUGCUAAUCUCCAAUUUCUCUGUUGUGUCUCUAAAUCUCCAUAAUGGGACAUCAGCCACACCAGGUGUCACCUAGUUCCUCCACCCCUCCUCAAGAUUUCCUGCGAGCUGCCCCUUCUCCUAUAGGCAGAGUGAUGUCAUAAUGGGAUCAGAAUGGUAUCUGCUGAUAACGCAACAGAUACAAGGCUUUCUGCAGCACCUUCUGAGCAAUUGGGCUGUCACUGUCCUAAACGGAGUAGUUGGGUUAAAAGUAUUUGUCCAUGACAUAACUUCCUGGCCCUCAGCUACCAGUGGAAGCAGGUCUCUCUGGUUCGACCUGUUAAUACCACAAACUCUACUUUGCCAGAAAUGUGACUUCUUGAUGAAUAAAUUGGUCCAGACCUGCCAAUUUGAAGUGAACUCAUAUUUGGCAGUCUGCUGGUAAGGCUGAGGAUCCCUUUAUCUAACUGUAGCCUUGAACAUCUGCCCUACCACCAAUAUUGUGUCCCUACCACCCUCAAGGAAGCCAAAAUGAUAUCACUGAGGGAGGGACGGGAGAGUCUGGAACUGCAUGCUCACAGAGAACUGUGAGUGAUGGAAUAUAGGUUGCUGACACCAUAUCCCUUUCAUUCUUGCUUGUUGUAGGAGCGCCAACGAUCAAGAGGAGACCAGAUGAGUUUUCAGAGCAGUCCUCAAACACCCAGGACACACCUCAUCCUUUGCCUCAUGCUUUCUGCAGUGUUGCUGCUCACAUUCAUCUUCCUAUUAACGCUUGCCAUAAUUACCCCUUCCUGAUCACCAUUCUUCCUCCAUUCACUACCCACUCAGCUCUUUCUCCAAGGUGCCUGUCUUAUGGGCAGUGGCUUUGUUCUCUGUUUGGCAAGUUCCCCUCUGAGUUAUGUCCAGAUGGCUAACAUUGGUUUCCCUCUUUCCUCAUGCCCAACAGCCCCUGCCUCAUGCCCAACAGCCCAGCAUUCAGUCCCUAGGUGAGGAAAACCACAGCACAUCCUACCUCUUCCAAAAUGAAGUUGCAAGACUCUGCCAGAGCAGUCACACUCAAUGAAGAUACUCGAGGUAUCUGAGUGUGAUGUAAAUAAAACUAGAUGGAAAGACCAGAAAUCCCUUAGUCCCAGUCAGAUAUAGUGAAAGUGCUUACUCAUGACUGUUUGGACUGAUUAAGAAUGUGGAGGUAGGAAGAAGAGAAAGAGAAGGAUCCUCAGAAUUGGACUGCCCCUGAAUACAGGAUGGAAUCAUCCAGACUUUUUUUCCUCCGAUUAAAUUUGCAUUUCAUUCU